Molecule: ribosomal RNA, 253 nt
Filed under: uncultured bacterium
Lineage: Bacteria
Description: partial 16S ribosomal RNA
Rfam family: Bacterial small subunit ribosomal RNA
Source: RNAcentral
UACGUAGGGGGCGAGCGUUGUCCGGAAUUACUGGGCGUAAAGAGAGCGUAGGCGGCACUACAAGUCUCAUGUGAAAUACCCGGGCUUAACUUGGGGGUUGCAUGGGAAACUGUAGAGCUUGAGUACAGGAGAGGCAAGCGGAAUUCCUAGUGUAGCGGUGAAAUGCAUAGAUAUUAGGAGGAACACCAGUGGCGAAGGCGGCUUGCUGGACUGAAACUGAUGCUGAGGCUCGAAAGCGUGGGGAGCAAACAGG